CCACUGGUAGCUCAAUGGUUGAGCAUCUUUUGUAGAAAAAGACUGUCGCAGGUUCGAUUCCUGCCCAAUCGG
Molecule: transfer RNA, 72 nt
Filed under: Lampropedia puyangensis
Lineage: Bacteria; Pseudomonadati; Pseudomonadota; Betaproteobacteria; Burkholderiales; Comamonadaceae
Rfam family: tRNA
About the family: Transfer RNA (tRNA) molecules are approximately 80 nucleotides in length. Their secondary structure includes four short double-helical elements and three loops (D, anti-codon, and T loops).
Source: Rfam by way of RNAcentral